ACGUAGGGGGCGAGCGUUGUCCGGAUUCAUUGGGCGUAAAGAGCGCGUAGGCGGCCCGGAAAGUGGGGUGUGAAAACCCGAGGCUCAACCUCGGGCGUGCACUCCAAACUCCCGGGCUCGAGGCAGGUAGGGGAGAUCGGAAUUCCUGGUGUAGCGGUGAAAUGCGUAGAUACCGAGAGGAACACCUGCGGCGAAGGCGGGUUGCUGGGCUGACACUGACGCUGAGGCGCGAAAGCUAGGGGAGCGAACGGGA
RNAcentral lists this ribosomal RNA (253 nucleotides) under uncultured prokaryote. RNAcentral describes it as "partial 16S ribosomal RNA". It matches the Rfam family "Bacterial small subunit ribosomal RNA", at positions 525 to 777 of the family's 1533-position model. The record is from RNAcentral.